ACGGCUCAGUAACACGUGGAUAACCUGCCCUAUGCUCUGGGAUAACCUCGGGAAACUGAGAAUAAUACCGGAUAGAUCACAACGCCUGGAACGGUGUGUGGUUGAAAGGUUACGGCAUAGGAUGGGUCUGCGGCGUAUCAGGUCGUAGGGGGUGUAAUGGACCCCCUAGCCAUCGACGCGUACGGGUGUUGGGAGACAUAGCCCGGAGACGGAUUCUGAGACACGAAUCCGGACCCUACGGGGUGCAGCAGGCGCGAAAACUUCACACUGCAGGAAACUGUGAUGAGGGAACUCCAAGUGGAUGCACAUAGUGUAUCUCUUUUCUUUACUAUUAAUCGGUAUUGGAAUAAGGGCUGGGAAAGACCGGUGCCAGCCGCCGCGGUAAUACCGGCAGCUCGAGUGGUCGUCGCUUUUAUUGGGCCUAAAACGUCCGUAGCCGGUUUGGUAAAUCUGUGGGUAAAUCAACUAGCUUAACUAGUUGAAUUCUGCAGAGACUGCCAGACUAGGAACCGGGAGAGGUGUGGGGUACUCAAGGGGUAGGGGUAAAAUCCUGUCAUCCUUUGAGGACCACCAGUUGCGAAGGCGCCACACUGGAACGGAUUCGACGGUCAGGGACGAAGCCUAGGGGCACGAACCGGAUUAGAUACCCGGGUAGUCCUAGGUGUAAACGCUGUGAACUUGGUGUCGGGAGUCCGCAAUGGGCCCCCGGUGCCGGAGUGAAGAUGUUAAGUUCACUGCCUGGGGAGUACGGUCGCAAGGCUGAAACUUAAAGGAAUUGGCGGGGGAGCAC
RNAcentral lists this ribosomal RNA (790 nucleotides) under uncultured archaeon. RNAcentral describes it as "bacterial SSU rRNA". It matches the Rfam family "Archaeal small subunit ribosomal RNA", at positions 85 to 879 of the family's 1478-position model. The record is from RNAcentral.